RNAcentral lists this ribosomal RNA (444 nucleotides) under uncultured bacterium. RNAcentral's name for it is "bacterial SSU rRNA". It matches the Rfam family "Bacterial small subunit ribosomal RNA", at positions 354 to 796 of the family's 1533-position model. The record is from RNAcentral.
GUAGGGAAUAUUGGUCAAUGGAUGGAAGUCUGAACCAGCCAUGCCGCGUGCAGGAAGAAGGCCUUCUGGGUUGUAAACUGCUUUUGCCAGGGGAUAAAAUGACCUUGCGAGGUUAAUUGAAGGUACCUGGUGAAUAAGCCACGGCUAACUACGUGCCAGCAGCCGCGGUAAUACGUAGGUGGCAAGCGUUGUCCGGAUUUAUUGGGUUUAAAGGGUGCGUAGGCGGCUUAUUAAGUCAGUGGUGAAAUACUCUAGCUCAACUAGAGGGGUGCCAUUGAUACUGAUGAGCUUGAGUACAGAUGAGGUAGGCGGAAUUGACGGUGUAGCGGUGAAAUGCUUAGAUAUCGUCAAGAACACCUAUAGCGAAGGCAGCUUACUAGGCUGUAACUGACGCUGAGGCACGAAAGUGUGGGGAUCAAACAGGAUUAGAAACCCUGGUAGUCC